UGGGGAAUAUUGCACAAUGGGCGCAAGCCUGAUGCAGCAACGCCGCGUGAACGAUGAAGGUCUUCGGAUCGUAAAGUUCUGUUGCAGGGGAAGAUAAUGACGGUACCCUGUGAGGAAGCCCCGGCUAACUACGUGCCAGCAGCCGCGGUAAUACGUAGGGGGCUAGCGUUAUCCGGAUUUACUGGGCGUAAAGGGUGCGUAGGUGGUCUUUCAAGUCGGUGGUUAAAGGCUACGGCUCAACCGUAGUUAGCCUCCGAAACUGGAAGACUUGAGGGCAGGAGAGGAAAGUGGAAUUCCCAGUGUAGCGGUGAAAUGCGUAGAUAUUGGGAGGAACACCAGUAGCGAAGGCGGCUUUCUGGACUGCAACUGACACUGAGGCACGAAAGCGUGGGUAGCAAACAGG
RNAcentral lists this ribosomal RNA (403 nucleotides) under Verrucomicrobiota bacterium. Its description in RNAcentral is "Verrucomicrobia bacterium partial 16S ribosomal RNA". It matches the Rfam family "Bacterial small subunit ribosomal RNA", at positions 355 to 776 of the family's 1533-position model. Lineage: Bacteria; Pseudomonadati; Verrucomicrobiota. The record is from RNAcentral.